Molecule: ribosomal RNA, 301 nt
Filed under: uncultured bacterium
Lineage: Bacteria
Description: partial 16S ribosomal RNA
Rfam family: Bacterial small subunit ribosomal RNA
Source: RNAcentral
CAGCAGCCGCGGUAAUACAGAGGGUGCGAGCGUUAAUCGGAUUUACUGGGCGUAAAGCGUGCGUAGGCGGCUUCUUAAGUCGGAUGUGAAAUCCCUGAGCUUAACUUAGGAAUUGCAUUCGAUACUGGGAAGCUAGAGUAUGGGAGAGGAUGGUAGAAUUCCAGGUGUAGCGGUGAAAUGCGUAGAGAUCUGGAGGAAUACCGAUGGCGAAGGCAGCCAUCUGGCCUAAUACUGACGCUGAGGUACGAAAGCAUGGGGAGCAAACAGGAUUAGAGACCCGCGUAGUCCCUGUCUCUUAUAC